RNAcentral lists this long non-coding RNA (227 nucleotides) under Elaeis guineensis (African oil palm). Its description in RNAcentral is "long non-coding RNA (EGUI_LNC041586)". Lineage: Eukaryota; Viridiplantae; Streptophyta; Magnoliopsida; Arecales; Arecaceae. The record is from RNAcentral.
ACUUAGCCGACUCAGAUAGGGGUUGAGUCAUCUAAGUCUCAGGUUAGCUGACCCAGUCUCAGUGAGUCAACUAACUUGUGGCUAAACAGAAAGUUGAGGUUUCGAAAAGUCUAUGGUGGCACGCAGGAGGGUCGACCUAGUUUCGAUUUGAGUCGACUAAGUUUUGUGGUGAGUCGACUCAGUCUUAGGUGAGUCGACUCAGCUGUGGAAAAACAGCGAAAUCGGGU